UUGUUUGUGCUAUAACACUUCCACCUCUCU
Molecule: non-coding RNA, 30 nt
Filed under: Mus musculus (house mouse)
Lineage: Eukaryota; Metazoa; Chordata; Mammalia; Rodentia; Muridae
Source: RNAcentral